GCUGAAUCACAUGUGCACACAUUGAAGUUAAAUGAACCCUAUGAAUUUUAAUGGAUGACAAUUUUUCCUAAGGACAUCUAAGCCCUAGCUACACCUAGAAGUUGUUGUUGAAGACUGCGGGCAGAUUACUUGUUGAAAAAGUAAGUAAUCUUAAUUAUAGUUUAUAUAAUACACAGAAUGCGUUGACAUUUGAUUACCCAGUGCUUUGAUAAUGAAGGAUGUUAUAUGUCAAAUCAAUGGUUAUAUUUAGAUUUUUUUUUAAAUUUUGGUAUACCCUUUGGUCAGUUUUAAGUAGUUUUAAGUACCCUGUUGAGAAAGGUGUUAUAAAUAAAGCCCAUUGAUUUAUAUUAUAGUGAGCGACUGGUUUAACGGAACACUGUGGAUUGAACAUUCUUGGCUGAAGACUGAGAAGUGGUUAUUGGUGGCAGUGCUGGGCCUGGAAAUGUUGCUGGGAGUAGCGGGGAAUGGUCUGAUUCUGUUUGUCAAAGUCAAAGUAAGAUUUGAUUGGUGGUUCUGUCACUUGCUGCUGUGUAUGAGUGAGAAAAGCAUUUUCUUAUCCUCCUUGCAUUUUUAGUGCAGGGCUCAGAUCUGCUGCCUUUACUGGCUGCCUUUCCUGAGUCUCACGUUGUCAGAUUUCGGUAUGAUUAGGUGUUGUAAUUUUGCAUCAUAAUUUCAUUAAAUUACUGCAGCACAGACUUGGUGUUUGACUGGCAUAUGUUCUUUAUUCCAAUUUUGUAAAGGCUGCUCCAUCCUUAUCAUCUCCAGCUCUCUUCUGGCCAUGCUGACAGGGGGUCAGAGAUCACCGUGGUGCGAGGUGGUCAGCCUCCUGAAGUUCACCUUCAUCAGCUCCUCUAUAGGGAGCUUAGCUGUGCUCUGCGUGCAGCGGUCGAUGGGCCCGUUCUCCACAAGACAUCCCCAAUUUGUUGUUAUGGCAACAGCUUGCUUGGCUUUCUGGGUGGCAGGGUUGGUGUUUGGCAGUCUCCCUGUUGUGAACAUGUGGAUCAAGUAUGAUCCUGCAGAGAUGCUGUGUGCAGUAUUCUGGGAGAACAGCUACUCUGACAUGUUGAUCUACAUUCUUAGUGCUUUUUCUGUCUGUAUCUUCCUCCCCUUCCUAUUCAUCCUGCUCUGCUCACUGUUGAGUGCCUUUGGCUACUACCCAAACUACAGGUAA
This 1171-nucleotide long non-coding RNA is filed under the name Takifugu rubripes (torafugu). RNAcentral describes it as "lncRNA (ENSTRUG00000029663.1)". The record is from RNAcentral. Lineage: Eukaryota; Metazoa; Chordata; Actinopteri; Tetraodontiformes; Tetraodontidae.